Molecule: long non-coding RNA, 2529 nt
Organism: Chelonia mydas (Green sea turtle)
Lineage: Eukaryota; Metazoa; Chordata; Testudines; Cheloniidae
Exons: 4
Source: RefSeq, a predicted model, not a curated record
UCUUGUAGCCCACAUGGAACAUGUGACUAUAGGCUACAGCAAAGCCUACUGGGAAAUGGGGGCAGGACUAAGAAAUUACUCCCUUAGAGUUAGUCAGAAACAUAGUAAAUUGCUGAGGAGGUGGCUCUUGAGGUAACGAGUAAUAUAGGAAAGAGAAAUAAUAGUUCCUUGCAGACAGGAAGCCAGGGAAGGUGUCUGAGGAGGAUUUAUUAAAGGACUGCUAGGGAGACAGCCUAACUAGAACUGGUAUUGUAUAAAACAGGUCUGGGAAACAAUAAAGCAGGGCAGUUUGGGGUCUGUGUCUGUGCUCUCAGCUGCUUUAUGAUUUAGGGAUUCUAGGGGGGGCUCCCUGAGAGCUCCACUGUGAGAAGUGGUGCUGAAAUCUCUGCAAGACAGGGAGAAGAAAUCUGUGAACUCUCAACAAGCUACAAAGUACUAUUGGCACCCCUGAAGGCAAACGCACACAGACAUAGAGGAAAGGGGCUGACCCUUCUCAUAGGUAACCUGAAGAUCUGUUGAUGGAGUCCCUGCAAUGAGGGUUGAAGUACUCUGCUUUAUUAUUAUUAUAGCCUUUGUGUACCCUGGAAGGGAUGGACUCCUAAUUUGACUGGAGUGCUAAAGCACCAAAGCAUCUGAUGAAAGAAACUAAUCAGCUGUGCAUCUCAACAAGGAGGGUGAAGAGAGUGAAACCUGUCAAGUGGCCAGCAAGAAAGGAUUUUUAAGAGAGAUCUAACUCAGCGUGGAGCAGUACUAAUCGUUAAUUUGGUGGGGGAGGGGACGAAGAUGUUCUUCAAAGACGGGAGUUUGCCGGAUAAGGCAUGAUGUCUGAAGAUUUAAUUUGCAUUGUUAUGGCCCAGUUGUGGAACCCUUACUCAUCUUGAUGGACACUUACACACAAGAGUAUGCCUUUUCAUAUCAGUGGAACUACUUGCCUGAGUAGCUGCUGACCAACCAGACAAACCAGAGGAGGAGGGGAUUCAGAAUUGCAGAACAAGCCACAAUCUGUUUUAUUUAUCCCUGAAGUUACUGUGAAUCGGGGAGAGUUUUCUGACAUCUGAGAGACUGGAGGAAGCAUCUUUCAACCUCUGCUGACCCAGGCACCAGAGCACACAGGAGUUCUCCAUAGUACCCAACGCCAGAGUAUGCAUUUUAGGGUGAAAUUCAGCACUACAAAAAGACUGGCACAUUAGAGGGCUUAAGUCGUGUCAGUCCAUUGCACAAGGAUGAAUUUCAUGCUUUCAGACAUAGCAAUCUUCUACCAUAUAGGAUGCACUGUAAGAUACUGACUUGGGUGCCCUACUAACUGUCUCUAAGACUAAGUGUCUCUUCUUUGGUGAAACCCUUUUAUUACUCUGGGUGAAACUGCUAGCAAUAAAACAUAUUUAUUCAGUUUGAACUGACAAAGAGAGCUGCAGUUUAGAUAUUAUUAAGUGGGGAGGAAGGAGAGCCCAAUGGAUUAAUACUUCUAGAGUGCUGUAAGAUAAAGUUACAUUCCCGAUACCUGGACCAGUCAGUGUGGAAAUAUGUAUGUGCCUAACACCUAUAAAAGUUAAUGAAAACAGAGCAACUAUGUUUUAUGGAUGAGCUCUGAAUGUUUGAAAGUAUUUUAUGCAAAGCAAAAAGUGGGAAAAUUAAGGAAUUGUGAAAUAGCUCUCUCUUCAACCAUGAAUAAUGGCUGGUUCCAUCUGCUGUUAAUUUCAUUGAAAGUCUCAAGUCAGAUUCAUCAGUAUGCCCAGUCUAUCUUGCAUAGCUUUGGUGACACAAAAGCAGCUGUACACCUGGUUUAACUAGUGAUAUUGAAUAAAUUAUUGCCAAUUAAUAAUUUGGCCACUGGUACCAAAAUUUUGCCCUAAGGGAGCUGAGAACUGUUUUCAUUAAUAGAACAGUGUUUUAAUCAUUUAGCCAUUGGCAAAUUAAUGAGAACUGAGAUCUUCUCACCAUUCUUUAACUAAAGUUUACCUGUUUCAAUAAACACUAAUGAAAAGACAACAUGCAACUUCCUGAAAAGACUGAUUUCUCAUGUAUUCUAAUGGUGAGCUACCUUUACUGCAUCCUAAUCAGCACCAGACAACUCACAAUGAUAUCACUAAACUAACUAUCACUUUUUCUCCUCUCUUUAUAUAUGACCUGUUCUGCUCUUCCUUUAAUCAGAUGUAAGGAGAAGAAUAUAUAUUUUAAUUAUUUUGCAUUUUGCCUUUAAAAAAUUUCAUGAGGAGAAUGGCAAUGUCAUAAUAAAAAUUAAAAUUAAACAUUCAAUAUAAAAUCUGUCUUCACACAGAUCUUUGAGUAUGGAGCUUCACCAAAGUUUGUUGAUUUAACUGAAAUUCAGUCUUAGAGAUCCCUAUGUAAAUAUUCUCUCUCCUGGACAGGUAGACUAAUGCAUUUAUAUUACUUCUCACUCAGUUCAAGGCAGUGAAUUUAUUCUUUUGUAUAUUUUCAAAUGUAUGGUGUUUUCUCCAAUUGUCUGACAUUUUCAUUAUUAUAGCUCGUGUAACAUGUUUUUCAAAUUUUUAGACAAAAUGAAAAAGC